GACGAACGCUGGCGGCGUGCCUAAUACAUGCAAGUAGAACGCACAGUUUAUACCGUAGCUUGCUACACCAUAAACUGUGAGUUGCGGACGGGUGAGUAACGCGUAGGUAACCUGCCUGGUAGCGGGGGAUAACUAUUGGAAACGAUAGCUAAUACCGCAUAAUAUUGAUUAUUGCAUGAUAAUUGAUUGAAAGAUGCUAUUGCAUCACUACCAGAUGGACCUGCGUUGUAUUAGCUAGUAGGUGAGGUAACGGCUCACCUAGGCGACGAUACAUAGCCGACCUGCGAGGGUGAUCGGCCACACUGGGACUGGGACACGGCCCAGACUCCUACGGGAGGCAGCAGUAGGGAAUCUUCGGCAAUGGACGAAAGUCUGACCGAGCAACGCCGCGUGAGUGAAGAAGGUUUUCGGAUCGUAAAGCUCUGUUGUAAGAGAAGAACGGGUGUGAGAGUGGAAAGUUCACACUGUGACGGUAUCUUACCAGAAAGGGACGGCUAACUACGUG
RNAcentral lists this ribosomal RNA (505 nucleotides) under uncultured bacterium. Its description in RNAcentral is "partial 16S ribosomal RNA". It matches the Rfam family "Bacterial small subunit ribosomal RNA", at positions 28 to 507 of the family's 1533-position model. The record is from RNAcentral.